This 440-nucleotide ribosomal RNA is filed under the name uncultured bacterium. RNAcentral's name for it is "partial 16S ribosomal RNA". It matches the Rfam family "Bacterial small subunit ribosomal RNA", at positions 339 to 795 of the family's 1533-position model. The record is from RNAcentral.
CUACGGGAUGCAGCAGUGGGGAAUCUUGGACAAUGGGCGCAAGCCUGAUCCAGCCAUGCCGCGUGAGUGAAGAGGGCCUUAGGGUCGUAAAGCUCUUUCGCCAGAGAUGAUAAUGACAGUAUCUGGUAAAGAAACCCCGGCUAACUCCGUGCCAGCAGCCGCGGUAAUACGGGAGGGGGUUAGCGUUGUUCGGAAUUACUGGGCGUAAAGCGCGCGUAGGCGGAUUAGUCAGUCAGAGGUGAAAUCCCAGGGCUCAACCCUGGAACUGCCUUUGAUACUGCUAGUCUUGAGUUCGAGAGAGGUGAGUGGAAUUCCGAGUGUAGAGGUGAAAUUCGUAGAUAUUCGGAGGAACACCAGUGGCGAAGGCGGCUCACUGGCUCGAUACUGACGCUGAGGUGCGAAAGUGUGGGGAGCAAACAGGAUUAGAUACCCUAGUAGUC